UAACGCGGAGGAAUCAGAAUUGUCCUCUUCUGAUUCGGACGAUAUGGACGAAUUUUAUCAAAAUUUUUGUUUAUAUCACGAACCAAUUACACCUUUUAAACAGAAAAAAAAUCAUUGAAGAGGGCGUUUUCGUAUUUAGAAAAACAUUCCUUGGUUAAAGAAACCAUCUUUGAAAAAGACGAAUUCGAUUACGAUUCGUCCAAAGAUUAUGAUUCGUCCAAAGAUGACGUCAGUUGUACUAAUACCGAAAGUGACGUCACGUCAAAAUCAUAUUCGGAAUUAAGUGAAGAAUUAAACGUAUCAGAUCAAGAAACCAAUGAAAAUAAAGCAACAAUGGAAAGAAAUAAAGAGUCAAGUGAAUCGAAAGACAUAAAAAAUGCUAAUGAAUCUACAUCCAAAAGUGAAUUGUCGGCAGAGGAUGAUGACGGAGAAACAACCAAAUGUUUUGCGGUUUUCAUUGCAUUUUUCCGCAGGAUUUCUUCCAUCGUCUGUUUUGGUUUCCGAAGAAAAAAUAAAAUAUUGCCAAUAGUUUAAAUAAAUUUGUAGAAGAUCGAGCGAAUUUCAAAUUUUACAUUUCGGUGAGUUCAAACAAUUCAAUCAGUGUUCGUUUAUAUUCGUAUUUUUCUUAACGUAUAAAAAUGAAUGUUACAUUCCAGAUUACUUUUUUAAUAUUAACUGAAAA
Centruroides sculpturatus (bark scorpion) is the source of this 682-nucleotide long non-coding RNA. RefSeq lists it as uncharacterized. The record is from RefSeq and is a predicted model, not a curated record. The transcript has 4 exons. Lineage: Eukaryota; Metazoa; Arthropoda; Arachnida; Scorpiones; Buthidae.